AGAGUUUGAUCCUGGCUCAGGAUGAACGCUAGCGGCAGGCCUAACACAUGCAAGUCGAGGGGCAGCACGGUGUAGCAAUACACUGGUGGCGACCGGCGCACGGGUGCGUAACGCGUAUGCAACCUACCCAUAACAGGGGGAUAACACUGAGAAAUUGGUACUAAUACCCCAUAACAUCAGGACCGGCAUCGGUUCUGGUUGAAAACUCCGGUGGUUAUGGAUGGGCAUGCGUUGUAUUAGCUGGUUGGUGAGGUAACGGCUCACCAAGGCAACGAUACAUAGGGGGACUGAGACGGUUAACCCCCCANAUUGGUACUGAGACGACGGACCAAACUCCGUACGGGAGCA
This 348-nucleotide ribosomal RNA is filed under the name uncultured bacterium. RNAcentral describes it as "bacterial SSU rRNA". It matches the Rfam family "Bacterial small subunit ribosomal RNA", at positions 8 to 349 of the family's 1533-position model. The record is from RNAcentral.